AGGAAAAAAAUAUGAAAAUGGAAAAAAGUUGGUGGUGGUGACUUUUGGGAGAGAAAUGUUUUUUUUUUUGUUUUGAUUUAGGUUUGGAGAAGAGGGGUUGGAUGAUAUUUUUUCAGAAUUUUGGGGGGCUAGAAAGUAUGAAAAAUGAGGGGGAAUAAUGCAUCUAUUUAUAGAGAAAGUAAGUGGGAAAGUGGGGGGGAA
Molecule: long non-coding RNA, 201 nt
Filed under: Lathyrus oleraceus (garden pea)
Lineage: Eukaryota; Viridiplantae; Streptophyta; Magnoliopsida; Fabales; Fabaceae
Description: Pisum sativum (pea) long non-coding RNA (PSAT_LNC041917)
Source: RNAcentral